Molecule: ribosomal RNA, 324 nt
Filed under: uncultured eukaryote
Lineage: Eukaryota
Description: partial 18S ribosomal RNA
Rfam family: Eukaryotic small subunit ribosomal RNA
Source: RNAcentral
CCCUUAGAUGUUCUGGGCUGCACGCGCGUUACACUGAAGCUAUCAACACGUUUUCCCUCCCUGAGAAGGGCGGGUAACCUUUUGAAUCAGCUUCGUGGUAGGGAUCGGGGCUUGCAAUUGUUCCCCGUGAACCAGGAAUUCCUAGUAGACGCGAGUCAUAAGCUCGCAUCGAUUAAGUCCCUGCCCUUUGUACACACCGCCCGUCGCUACUACCGAUUGAACGUUUUAGUGAGGCAUUUGGACCGACGCAUCUCAGUUUAACCGCUGGUUUGUGUUGGAAAGACUUCCAAACUUGAGCGUUUAGAGGAAGUAAAAGUCGUAACA